RNAcentral lists this long non-coding RNA (2222 nucleotides) under Mus musculus (house mouse). RNAcentral's name for it is "long non-coding RNA chr17:83330677-83332899". Lineage: Eukaryota; Metazoa; Chordata; Mammalia; Rodentia; Muridae. The record is from RNAcentral.
GAAAGUAGACAUGAAAACUGUGGACUUUGCUGUACUCUGGGAACCUUUGCUGUGAGUCUGACCCUUUGGAUCUUAGAGAAUAGGGUGGGUGACAUGAAAAAGGAAUGGAAAGACCUCCGUAGGAACAGAGACGGGACUUCUGAAGGGCUAGCUCCUGUUUCUAUCCUCUGUGUUCACAGUAGCCAAGCAGCCAAAUUGCCUUUCCUAUGAAGGUUUAAUCCAGCCUGGAUCACAAGGAGGAGGUGGUUGAGCAAUGUGUGGACGAAGGGCUUGCCUUGCCUUUGAUCGCAGUGUAUAAAACUGAAGACUGAUCACAAGAAGAGAUGUCCUAGCAGGACUGCUACGACCUAAGUCACAAGUUGACUGACAAAGUGUGGUGAUUCAUUCUCACUUAAAUAUUAAUUACUAAAAAACCCAAGGCUAGCAGAGCGAUGCAGGCCUGUGGUCCUAGCUCUUGGAAAGUAGAAGCAGGAAGCUGAAGGAGUUCACUAUCGUCUUCAUCUACAGAGAGAGUCUGAAGCCAGCCUGGGCUAUAUGAGACUACCAGAACAACAAAGCGAAUCAGCCAUCAACAUCCUCUGUCCCAGUCUCUUUCUGUAACAUCAGCUCCUUCUAAAGUAGUAGACUUUAUGUUUCAUAUCAUGUGAUCCCAGUUUGAUUUCAUGGGUGAGAGGACUAGAGGCAAGACCUGAUUCUAGGACAGCCAGUCUGCUUGUUCUUCUGGUCUGUGAGUCGGUCUAAAAGCACACUGGGGCAGAGACAGAUCUGCUGUUAUCUUGCCCUCUAUGCUCUUUUGUUUUGUUUUGUUUUGUUUAAGAUUUAUUUAUUUAUUUUUAUGUAUAUGAGUACCCUGUAGCUGUACAGAUGGUUGUGAACCUUCAUGUGGUUAUUGGAAAUUGUAUUUAAGACCUCUGCUCGAUCCGGUCAAUCCCACUCGCUCCAGUUGCCCCCACUCGCUCCGGCCCAAAGAUAUAUUUAUUAUUAUACACAAGUACACUGUAGCUAUCUUCAGACACACCAGAAGAGAGCAUCAGAUCUCAUUACGGGUGGUUGUGAGCCACCACGUGGUUGCUGGGAUUUGAACUUAGGACCUUCUGAAGAGCAGUCAGUGCUCUUAACCACUGAGCCAUGGCGCCAGCCCCUCUAUGUUCUUUAUACACAUAUUUUUUACGUUUUUGUACUAAGUGCAUUUUUUAGUGUUAAUUUAUUGUGUAUUGUGUAUAGGAAGAGGGUGGGUGUGUGGGUAUUAUACCUUAGCAUGUGUAUAAAGGUCACAGGGUAGUUUUCAGGAGUCCCCUUUCUUCUUCCAUGUUGUGUAUCUGUGGACAAAACUCAGGUUGGCAGGUUUGGCAGCAAGAGCCUUUACCCACCGAGAUGUCUCGUUUUGUUAAGGUUUGUUGCUUUGCUUUAUAAUUUGUUUUCCCCUGAGAAAAGGAAGGAGGAACAGGAAGAUGGACAUACUGAGGUGAGUGAGAAUUCGGGGAUGGCUGUACUGGAACAGUCAGUCCUUCUGUUGGUGACAAUGCGCUGGCACAGCCAUUCUGUCCCUAUAGAGGAGCCAUGAAAACCAAGAGAGACCUUAUCAGCCAGUAGGAAAGCAGGAAGAGGCGUGACCCAGCUCUAUUUUCUUGAUGAAAUCAGUGAAGUUUUUUGUAUUUUAACUGAUAGGUUCAGAAGCACCUUUGAGUGGCUCUCACCUGAGAGCCACUGGCUUUCAGUACUAGUUUUUUUCUGAAGCUAGCCCAUUAGGGUUUCCUUUGAUGGAUCUUUUUAGAAGAUGCUUCCGUUAUCUGUUCCCUGUAUGCAAUGUUGGGGAUUAAACAGAACCCUGAACAUUCCGGACAAGCCCUUUACCAUUGAGCUAUGACCUGUGUGCACUCUUAAACACUCCCAUGACCUUAUCAUGUGUCGUUCUUAAUAUUCUUAUGCUCGAGCUAGCUGCCAAGAGGAGAUAGAGACUUGCAGCCAAACUAAAGUCCAAGUAUGCACUGGCUAGUAGGCUACAAGAGUGGAGUCAAAAUAAAGGGGACUGAGGGGUCAGGAACGUCUGAAACAGAAGUGGCAGGUGAAGAGCCCAGGGUCCACACCUGGGCUCCAGUACUCGGGAGGAGGAAGCCGGAGUUCAAGAUCAGCCUGGGCUCUAAAGAAAAGGAAAAAAACCUAGAUGAUUCUGUAAAGGCUCAUGAAGUUACAAAUAAUGUUCCUGAAACCAGUGUAUGUUG